GCAAGUCGAACGGCAGCACGGGUGCUUGCACCUGGUGGCGAGUGGCGAACGGGUGAGUAAUACAUCGGAACAUGUCCUGUAGUGGGGGAUAGCCCGGCGAAAGCCGGAUUAAUACCGCAUACGAUCUACGGAUGAAAGCGGGGGACCUUCGGGCCUCGCGCUAUAGGGUUGGCCGAUGGCUGAUUAGCUAGUUGGUGAGGUAAUGGCUCACCAAGGCGACGAUCCCUAGCUGGUCUGAGAGGAUGAUC
RNAcentral lists this ribosomal RNA (248 nucleotides) under uncultured bacterium. Its description in RNAcentral is "partial 16S ribosomal RNA". It matches the Rfam family "Bacterial small subunit ribosomal RNA", at positions 57 to 305 of the family's 1533-position model. The record is from RNAcentral.